Molecule: non-coding RNA, 1224 nt
Organism: Camellia sinensis
Lineage: Eukaryota; Viridiplantae; Streptophyta; Magnoliopsida; Ericales; Theaceae
Source: RefSeq, a predicted model, not a curated record
CAUUUUGUAUCUCGUCUGGUUAUUUUUGUUUUAGGUUGGGUUGAGUUCCCUUGUCCGUCGGUUGUCUAGGUUUUCAUUGUCGUUGACAUAUUAUCUGUGCUGGAAGGUGUGUAUGGCUUCCGAUCUGUGCAUCGAAAAGAACGAUUCCAAAUGGGAGAUUAGAGAUUCACCGGCAAAGAAGCAAAGGUGCGAGGAUUACGGUUCACCACCACCGCUUUGUUCGUCAGCAGAAGAAGAAAAAGAAAAAGAAAAAGAAAAAGAAGACCCUAGAUCAAAAGUUGUAUUCUAUAACUACGAUGAUUCAGAUGUGGAAGAUGACAGUGAUGGAAGGCAUGAGUUUACUGAUAGGGAAUACCAAGAAUAUAAUCGACAGAUCACUGAAAGCGAUGGCUUUGAUGUGAUGUCGUUCCCACGCUCCUUUGCUUGCGGUACAACAGCCCCUCUUUAUAAUUUCGAUGACAUUGCCGACGACCUCAAAUCUUUUUCCGAAUUAGCUCUUAAGGAAUACAAUGAGAAAGAGCAUACGAAUUUGGAGUUUGUGAAGGUUGUCAAGGUCAACGUCGCUGGUGUUGCUGGUUUUUUGUAUUAUAUUACCCUUGAUGUCAGGGAUGCUGCUGCGGUUGAUGGCGGUACUAUGGAAUUUCAAGCUUGUGUCUGGGAUGGGAUUGCCCACACUGAAGUAGUCAUUUCUAGGCUGAAAUCUAGCACAUAAUCGAGGUAACAUUGGAAUUUGGACUUUUUUGUUGUUGGUGUAUGGCUGAAAUCAGGUGAGAUUGAAGAUUUCACCAAGGUAAUAUGCUUAUGGAGUCCCAGUCAGUUGUUGGAAGGGUGUGCUACUAUGAAACAAAAUGAAUAUAAUAUUAGAAUCUUUGUACAUGUGGUGGUGGUAGGGUUGUGUUGGUUAGGCUGUUGACGUCAAAAACGUUGGAUAUUGACAAUUAUGUUGUUACUUGAUUUAGAAUAUGUCUAGAUUAAUAUUCUAAGCUAAUAUCUAAACUAAUAUUUAUAAAACAAUGUCGUCAGAUGAUGUUUUGUUUGACAAGUGAAAUGUAUGACACAUAACAACUAGAGCAAAUUGCUUGUCCAAGUUGUUUUUUAACUUUAAACAUGUAAAAGAACCUAAGCCCAAAGCAUCCUAAACGAUGGAGUUGCCCCAUACGCAUGCUGUUGAAUUGGAAAGUGUGAGGUGUCUACAAAAGUUGUUUCUAUGUGAUGGAAGUCAAA